RNAcentral lists this ribosomal RNA (372 nucleotides) under uncultured organism. Its description in RNAcentral is "bacterial SSU rRNA". It matches the Rfam family "Bacterial small subunit ribosomal RNA", at positions 526 to 896 of the family's 1533-position model. The record is from RNAcentral.
CGGAGGGUGCGAGCGUUGUCCGGAAUCACUGGGCGUAAAGGGCGCGUAGGCGGCGCGGGUAGUCAACGGUGAAAGCUUGGGGCUCAACCCCGAGUCGGCCGUCGAUACUCCCGUGCUUGAGCACUGUAGAGGCAGGUGGAAUUCCGGGUGUAGCGGUGGAAUGCGUAGAGAUCCGGAAGAACACCGGUGGCGAAGGCGGCCUGCUGGGCAGUAGCUGACGCUGAGGCGCGACAGCGUGGGGAGCAAACAGGAUUAGAUACCCUGGUAGUCCACGCCGUAAACGAUGGGCACUAGGUGCUUGGGGGAGCGACCCCCUGAGUGCCGGCGCUAACGCAUUAAGUGCCCCGCCUGGGGAGUACGGCCGCAAGGCUG